This 431-nucleotide ribosomal RNA is filed under the name Odontotermes yadevi. Its description in RNAcentral is "partial 16S ribosomal RNA". Lineage: Eukaryota; Metazoa; Arthropoda; Insecta; Blattodea; Termitidae. The record is from RNAcentral.
CGCCUGUUUAUCAAAAACAUCUUUUCUUGUUAGUUUCUGAAGUAUGGCCUGCCCGCUGACGUAUUUUUGAGUUGAAGGGCCGCGGUAUAUUGACCGUGCAAAGGUAGCAUAGUCAUUAGUUCUUUAAUUGUGAUCUGGUAUGAAUGGCUUGACGAGACAUGGGCUGUCUUGGGUGUAGAAUUUGUUGUUGAAUUUUGAGUUUAAGUUAAAAUUCUUAGAUGUUUUUAUGGGACGAGAAGACCCUAUAGAGUUUAACAUUUUAUUGCGUAUUUCUUGUUGUUUGUUUUAAAUUUUUACGUGUCUCUUGUUUUGUUGGGGUGAUGGGAGGAAUUUAUUUAACUCCUCUUUUUGUGUGGUAUAUUGAUGUAUAUAUUAUAUUGAUCCAUUUAUUUUGAUUGUAAGAUUAAAUUACCUUAGGGAUAACAGCGUAA